GCCUUGGGUGAAUUUAUGGAGACAUAAACUUAGGGUUGGUUUGCAGAGACAUGAAAUACUACCCAGUAGGGUCUGCAGCUCUGCCUGAAGCCAAAUGUUUUACUGGCCUCUCAGCUAAAUGAUUGAAGAUGUGUUCCAGGGUUACUCUUUAUUUUGAGGGGCUGAGUAGAGAACUGAAUCACUCCUCUCUGCCUAGAGAGAGGGAAAAAAGCAAUUUUCUCUUGUCCUUUGACAGUGCACUGGGGUUCCUUUUAUCUUUAUGCAUACAGACAGCAAUGAACAUACAUUUCCUCCUCUCAAAGGAGAGAUGGUAACAGCCAGAAAAGCAGUUUCAGGUCAUGCUAAUAUUCACCUGUACAAAAUAUAUUUGCAUGAGAAAUGGGAGUGUGGGUGGGACUGGUGUCACUUGUCACAUCUGAGCAGGGCCACCCUUUCCCAGACCAAAAGUAAAAGCGUUUGCCUGCAGCAGCAGCAGUUUGGCUUUUCAUGUCCAUCAACAUUCAAUCAGCAGCUGCAUGAAAUACAGUUUAAUGGGAAUUGGGGCAUCUCUGUGAAAGGAACUAUACAGGGCUUUCUUCUGUGUUUUACACUUCACAAUACAAAAUGGAAUUUCAGUGAAAUUCCCAUGGAAUUUCAGUGUCCCACCGAACCAUCUAAACCACUGAGCAAAUAACUGAAAAAAUAACUUGUCAUGUAAAUAUAUUUCAGUUUCUUAGGUUACAAAUCUAUUAACAUACUAUAAGGAACAAACAAAACUAUGGAGAUCAGGAAGUCAGAAAAUUCUUCAGGAAAAGAGAGGUAAAAACUUCCUACAUUAUUCAAAGAAUAUAUUAUUUUCAUAAUUUUUUCCCAUUUCACCAGAAGAGCUAUUGGAGGUGAUAUUGUUUGGAUGGUACAAAAAAGCAAAUAAUUGUCUGACAAGUGCAUUUGAGUGUGCACUGACACAUGUAGAGUCUUCUAAUAAAGAAAAAGAGAAGUAAACCAGACAGAAUAUAGUUCAUUAAUGACCAAAUUAAAUAUUUUUAAGUUUGGUAAGGAAGAAUUUUGUACAGAAAGAUUUUUUGGAAAUCAGCUUUACUUUUCAGCAAAGUAUUAUGAAUUCAGGUUGUAUCCAGGCCACUUCAUGGGAGCAAUCUAAACCAUUCCAGAGGCAAAGGUUCAGGCCCAGCUUGAAGAGCAGGAGCUCUGGAGCACACAGGAGCACCCAGCAGAGCACAGGCACGGCUGCUACAUGAGCUUUGCUACCUCUCCAGUAUUUUUAAUUUGGAACCUUUUGUCACCCUUUGCAGCUGCAAGAUCCUGCAGGUUUGGUAAUUGCUCCUGAUCUCCCCUCCUGCACAGCUGCUCCAUGGGAAGGUGGCAGUGUCCCCAGCUCAUAGACAUCACCAGGACUGCCACACUGCCACAGCCCAUCUCAGCCUGGGCCCUUGCACCUGGCAGCUCUGCCACCUCCCAGGGUCAUGUGUACCUCCAGAACAUCCUGCUGCACCUCCCAAUCAGCCUCUGCAUUUCUGGCAGGAUCUCAGACAGUUCCAGAUGACAGGGAGCUAAGAAGCCUCUCUCAGAGGAACCCUUUCUGAUUCUUCACCUGUUCCCAUCAGAAGGGGCCGUGCCAUGGGGUGCAGGGUGUGGAUUCUAAAUCAGCCAACGUCUGAUGGAUUUAGCAAGUGGAAACUGGUAAUUUAGGAACAUCAAAAUGGCCACAUCAAAUUUAGGCUAAGGGGCAGUAUUACAUAGAUGUGAUGCAAAAAAUUGACCCACAGGUUGAAAGCGAAUCUGCAUCAAUAUUAAAAUACAGUAAUAAAAGGUGAUAGUUUGCAGCUAA
Taeniopygia guttata (zebra finch) is the source of this 1825-nucleotide non-coding RNA. The record is from RefSeq and is a predicted model, not a curated record. Lineage: Eukaryota; Metazoa; Chordata; Aves; Passeriformes; Estrildidae.